UAAGGAAUAUUGGUCAAUGGACGCAAGUCUGAACCAGCCAUGCCGCGUGGAGGAUGAAGGCCCUCUGGGUUGUAAACUUCUUUUAUUUGGGAAGAAACCACCGAUUUCUAUUGGUGUUGACGGUACCAGAUGAAUAAGCACCGGCUAACUCCGUGCCAGCAGCCGCGGUAAUACGGAGGGUGCAAGCGUUAUCCGGAUUCACUGGGUUUAAAGGGUGCGUAGGCGGGCAGGUAAGUCAGUGGUGAAAUCUUCGAGCUUAACUCGGAAACUGCCGUUGAUACUAUCUGUCUUGAAUAUUGUGGAGGUGAGCGGAAUAUGUCAUGUAGCGGUGAAAUGCUUAGAUAUGACAUAGAACACCCAUUGCGAAGGCAGCUCACUACGCAAAAAUUGACGCUGAGGCACGAAAGCGUGGGGAUCAAACAGGAUUAGAUACCCGCGUAGUCC
This 444-nucleotide ribosomal RNA is filed under the name uncultured bacterium. RNAcentral's name for it is "bacterial SSU rRNA". It matches the Rfam family "Bacterial small subunit ribosomal RNA", at positions 355 to 796 of the family's 1533-position model. The record is from RNAcentral.